Long non-coding RNA from Hydra vulgaris (swiftwater hydra), 1275 nucleotides. RefSeq lists it as uncharacterized. The record is from RefSeq and is a predicted model, not a curated record. Lineage: Eukaryota; Metazoa; Cnidaria; Hydrozoa; Anthoathecata; Hydridae.
AAUUUGUAAAAUUUUGUUCGUUUGUUUAAAAGAUAUAAAAGCAUUAAUAUAUAUAUUUUUUUCCGAUGUUUUCUCUAUCUUAUGCUUUAACAAUUCGUUGUUAAAAACACAGGGAAACUUGCAGUUUGUCAAAUACUAAGUUGAUUAGUUUAGUCUGCAAUUGCAACACUUUUGAGGAAAGAAAAAGUUCUUACAUAUGUAAAUCGUUGUUUUACGCUUUAUUAUUUUGGUAAAAGGUCUUCAUCAUAAAUAGACUACUCUUAAUAAAAAAAACUCUACUCACAUGGCUACCAUUAAAACAAAAAAAGGGGAGGGGCUCUUAAUUAGCGGAGAUGUCAAAAUAUUGAUGAAACCGAAACUUCGAGUAAUAAAAGGAAUAUUUAGUAAAUGGCAGCAAAUUACUUUACCGUUUGCAAAAAAUUAUUGAAAUAAAGAGGCCAUCUAUUCAAUAUAGAAAUAAUCAGAGUUUAGAAGGCUUAACAUGACCGGGUCCGGUUAGCUUUGUUUGCAAACAUGAGAUGUCACGUUAACAACCUCAAAAGUCAAUUUAAAACAUGUUUAGUAGCAAAAUGUGAUAUAUACAAGUAUAAAUGUGAUAGUAUAGUAAUACUCUUUUAUGAUUUUUUAGCUAAUAAAAUGGAUUUAAGACUAGAUUGAUUUUUGUUUCCUGUUAAACCGCAGUAAAUAAAAAUUAGAAGGCUAUUUGGCCCCGACAGAAUAUGCGACAAGUUUGUAUUAAACUCAUUUACACAAAAAUGGAAUUAAGACAAGUUAGCUCCUAAAAUUAUCUAUAUGUACAGAUAUGUUUAUUGCACUUAUUAGUAAAUAAACUGAUUAGUUGCGUAAUGAGUUUAAAUUUUAGCCAUUUUUCAAAGUUGAUAAUCAUAACGUUCUUAAUUAAACAUGCGUGAUGUAAUUUGCAUAGCUAAAUUAAAUGCUCUUUUACUUUAGUUACUGCGCUAAGUGUUACGCAGUUUGGUUUGUGCGCAGUUUUUCUUCUGUUCUGGAAUUUUGAGAUUGGAAUUUCCAGACUUAUUUUAAAAAGCGCGUUUUCGUUAUAAAUUUUUUUUACAUCUAAUCGUACCUAUCAAGUAGGUCAUAUUCAGUAUAAUCAAUUCAAUCGUUUUUAUUUUUUAUUUUUUAACAUGUCUAUUACCUUUAUUAAAUUUGUUUUAAGCAUAUUUGUUUUUAUUUUUUAUAUCGAAUUAAUAGAAUGAAUCAGAUUGAAGAUGAAGUUGCUGAAUUACUAAGAAAUGAUGACAAUAUUGAAGCAAG